GUCGCCGCCAGAGCAUUUCCACGCUUCUAAGUAUAAGUGUGUUAUUAGGAACGACAAGGGACAUGUACUCGGAUCAUUUGAUAAUAGAUCAAACUCGAGGCCAACAAAGGAUCUUCAAAAAAUAUUAGUGAAUGAAAGUUUGUUGUUUGGUCUUAGAUAUGGGGUUUGGGUAUAUCAUCUUAGAAACGAAUUGGCUUCAUACAUUUCACAUAUUGCAGUCAAUUAAUAUCCUAACGAAUAAACUCUGUUUACCAAUUAUUAUAAAACAUUUGCUAGAUAGAUACUUAAGUA
Erigeron canadensis is the source of this 291-nucleotide long non-coding RNA. RefSeq lists it as uncharacterized. NCBI's taxonomy places the organism in Eukaryota, Viridiplantae, Streptophyta, Magnoliopsida, Asterales, Asteraceae. The record is from RefSeq and is a predicted model, not a curated record. The transcript has 2 exons.